Long non-coding RNA from Falco peregrinus (peregrine falcon), 3328 nucleotides. RefSeq lists it as uncharacterized. The record is from RefSeq and is a predicted model, not a curated record. Lineage: Eukaryota; Metazoa; Chordata; Aves; Falconiformes; Falconidae. The transcript has 3 exons.
GUGACUUAUAUGGAGGAAACCAAAAAGUUCAAGAGAACAAAGCCAUAUUGGGUUGUGCAGACCCUUGAAUUUGCAGCAAAGCCUGGUAUUAGAAGAGGUGAACCCAUUUUCUCAUGUUUUGUUAUGGUUGCCUGGAUAUCUGGAAGGUCCUAUGUGAUAUCUCCAAUAGUUAGAAAUACGGUGCCCCACUUUGGACAACUGAAGAAUUGGCAUUAUCUUUUACCCAAGUAAAUCACAGAUAUUUUGAAUUGUGCUCACACCACUUCCUUCAACCUUUGACCCUUCUGCUCCAAGAGCUCCUAUAAACACAAUUUUACCCUUGGAACACAACAGCCCUGCAGCAAGUAGCACAUCCCUCUCCCUAAGUCCCCAGAUAGAAGAAAAUAUGAAAGGAUCUAUUAAACCUGAAAGUAGAAUAUCAUUUUGUUAAGAAAUACUAAUAUGUAGUAUUAUGGCAGUAGCUUGAUUCCUUAGCCAUUGGUGAGACACAGGACUCGGUCACACGGAUAACCAUAGCCCUUCUGUCCUCCUCACUAUUGACACCCCCUGAUCGGAGUGAAGCAGAGAGGGAGACACAGAGACCUUUGUGGCAAUUUGCCUUACCUAAGCUCUCAGAUACUUUGUGGAGGUAACUUCCUUACCCCUCUCUCCCAGCUAUGAAGGAAUCACAGACCAACAAGGCCUUAGAGCAGAGCACUGGGUUGGUGCCUAAUGGCCAGAAGGAUAAAAGUCAGCCAUGUAAAACUUUUUGAAGUUCAAAUUAGUUUUUCAUUUGACUGCUUUAAUCCUAGCUUUUGCUAUAGACCUCAAGUUUCUACUAUUUUUCACUAGAAAGUCUCAACUUCGUAAUCAUCACAACUGAGCUGAAAGGUGGACAAUAGCAGAUGAGGAUAAGAAGAAGAUCUUAUUGCUGGGCAUAAGAAAAUAUUUCAAAGAAUUUGGAUUCAAAGUGUCUCGUCAUAGACAGUGAAUACCAACCACUUAUUAUUUCAGUUUGUGCCUAUUUAGAUUCCUGAAGCUAAAUUCUCACAUGGCAGCCUUUAUGAAUUAUGAUUUCUAUCUCCAGUUGGCAAGGGACUCCUAUCUGAUGAAUAAUAACAUGGCUUCAGUUAUUCAUUCCUUGAUCAUCGCUCAGUUGGACUACAACCAUACAAUAUAUCCUUAGCAACACAAACUACUUCAAGCACAUCAAGCUUGUCUUCUGCUUAUGGCAGGCUAUAAAAUUGUGAAUCAUUAUAUCUUGAUCUUUAGCUACAAUCAAUAUAUAAUAACAUUACAUAUAUAUAUAUCCUGCACAAAGCAUUAAAAAAAAAAAAACAACCCUUAAACCUUCCUGUAAGACACUCAACUACCCAUGCUUUUCCUCUGAGACAAAGCAUCCUGUAACAAGGUGUUUAGCCAUGUUUCUUUAUACUGUGCUUUUCUACUCAAGUAUCAAGGACAUAAGAAGAAAUCCAGAUUUCCUCUCUGCAUUCUACAGUACAAGACCGAUGAAGACUCAAGGGAUUAAAAAAUGUACAGGACUAAUAAAGGUUUGCACCUACAGCCUGUAGGCUGAGGUAGAAACCAGAGAGUCUUUUUUUUUUUUUUUUUUUAAUAUUAAACAUACAAGACUUGGGUCCUUCGUUCCCUCAGAUAAUGUAUGUGGAUGGACUUACUCAUGCAAACACCUCUCCUUUGCAGAGGUAAGAACGCAAGGAGAAGCAGGGUCCCAAUGGAGGCUUUUCUUUUGUUCAGAAACAGGCAGUAUUACUGCCACUGUGCAGCUACUGCAAAUACAUCACUUGUGAUGAGCCAAGGGAACAAUUUCCAUAGUUUUGCACCAAGAAGGUCUCAGCAUGGCAUUGAAUUUGGAAUAUAUACAUGACUUAUCAAAAAAGUCCAUCAGCAAUCACUGAUGAUCGUUUCUGAAUAAGACAUUUUCAAUAUACCUGCAGGACAAUUCACUCUGGCUACACAGAGCCGUACAGCCAGCCAUCAGCCCUCCUUUUCGACUUCCAGAAACCAAGGAUUUGUUUAUUUUCUUCCUUUGCAAAGGAUGAGAGGAAACAGCAGAUAUGUUAACCAUGUAAAUUCAUACAAAAUAGUAUUAAAAAUACAUCAAUGUAUUGCAGGUUUUGGACUCCUUGGAAAAGUUGCAUGACUGUACAGAAUUCAUGGCCGUGCUGCUGUGCCAGAGCCACAGAUCUGAAUUGCGUGCUGGGAGUCCAUGUAUUACAUGUCAGCAAUAGUGACUGCAAGGGGGUUGCCCGCAUGUUGCAUUGUAAGCUUUCCUUCUUGGUGUUGAGACAGCAAGCAGGAAGGCCAACGCAACAACAAAAGGUGACAGCCGGUAGCAGGAGAUAAAGCCAGUCAACCUUCUGCUUUGCAGAUCCUUACUGAAAAAUCGCUAUUGCCAAUAGACUGAAUGGCUCAGGUGAGAGGGGACAGGAUGCAAUUACUAUCUUCUCCCCUGCUGAAAAUCUAUUUGAAGGUCUGUAACCACAUUUUUAAAGAGCCAAAACACUUUGUCUUGAAGAGGACCACUUGCCAUAUUUGAGAAUAUGUUAAUUUAAAGGAAAACAGAUCAAAGGAAAGUGAAAAAGAUGAAAUGAAUAGAUUAAAAUAGCUUUCUACUCAAAUGGUACUCCAUUAUGCCUCCCAGCCAGGUUGUUUUUCCCCCUUUUUUUAGAAAAACUUAUAUCUUUUGAAAACAAUGGACAGUUUGACUGGAACAUGUAUCAACACUGGAAAUCAUGAGUUUCCUUUGAUUAUUUUGUGAGGAAUGAGUUGAAAUUCAUUGGAGGAAAUAGUAUGGUAUGCUGUAGAAUAGGUUUACGGAUUAAAUCUAUUUGGGUCCUUACAGACUUUAAAGUUAUUAAAUAUAUUGAAUGAACCACAGCCUGUGAUCUGAGGAGAGUUCUUACCAGUGGUAAAGUAUUGCAGAAGUAAAUCAAUUGUGGACUCACUUAUUUAUUUUUUUUCUCAUAUAACUUUCGUAACUAUUAGGAAAGCGUACAAACUGACCUCUGAAGCAAUUCAUUUUUUCCUCAAAACUUCAAAAGUAAUUUUAGUUUUAAAACCAAGAAAACAAAAGGAAAACAAAUUUUAAAAUCUCAAGGGCUGUUGUGAAAAGGGACUGCUGUCUUCCAGCCAACUCUAUUAUACAGUAGACAAAGGAAUACAGCUUGCUCUGCCAUACCUAUAUUGAUUUUGCAGACAGAAAAAUAUAAAAACAUGCUUCUAGCAAAACAUCUAGUAUUCUGACUGUAGGUGUACUUUAAAUUCAGUCACCAGCAAGAAUUUUUUAUUUAUAAAUUAAAAAUUAAAAAAUGCUAAGAAAUUAAUU